This 351-nucleotide small RNA is filed under the name Drosophila erecta. RNAcentral's name for it is "GG27028". The record is from RNAcentral. Lineage: Eukaryota; Metazoa; Arthropoda; Insecta; Diptera; Drosophilidae.
AUAAUGCAUGCAUUAACAUAUUAUUUGAUUGAUCUAUUAGUGAAAAAUACACAGGCUGCUUAAAGUUUCUUUGAGGGCCACCGACUUUGGUUAGAUAUAUCUUAAGCCCACAUUCAUCUAGAUAUUUUACAGUUCUUGCCUGUUGCAGCCAAAGCGUUAGCAAACAUAGUGAUAAAGACAAAGUGUUCAAGACAAAAUGUAAUCAAUACCAUUAAAAAUUAUACAACAAGAAAUCAACUUAUUAAUCAACCGAUCAACUGGAAAACUGAGCAAUGUCAAGGCAAAGGUUCUCAACAGCAUGUCCCGUUUAAGAUGCGCACAAUUAGCUUAAAACGACAGCAGGACAUGGAG